UCAACCCGAGAAUUGCUUUCGAAACUGUAAGGCUAGAGUACUAGAGGGGAUGGUGGAAUUCCUUGUGUAGAGGUGAAAUUCGUAGAUAUUAGGAGGAACACCGGUGGCGAAGGCGACCAUCUGGCUAGAUACUGACGCUGUUGCACGAAAGCGUGGGGAGCAAACAGGAUUAGAUACCCUGGAUAGUCCACGCUGUAAACGAUGAGUACUAAAUGUUGGUAGGGAACCUAUCAGUAUUGAAGUUAACACGAUAAGUACUCCGCCUGGGAAGUACGGCCGCAAGGUUGAAACUCAAAUGAAUUGACGGGGACCCGCACAAGCGGUGGAUGAUGUGGAUUAAUUCGAUGCAACGCGAACAACCUUACCUACCCUUGACAUGUCCGGAAGGCUGCUGAAAGGUGGCUGUGCCCGAAAGGGAACCGGAACACAGGUGCUGCAUGGCUGACGUCAGCUCGUGUCGUGAGAUGUUGGGUUAAGUCCCGCAACGAGCGCAACCCUUGUCCCUAGUUGCUACGCAAGGGCACUCUAGGGAGACUGCCGGUGACAAACCGGAGGAAGGUGGGGAUGACGUCAAGUCCUCAUGGCCCUUAUGGGUAGGGCUUCACACGUCAUACAAUGGACGGUACAGAGGGUUGCCAACCCGCGAGGGGGAGCCAAUCCCAGAAAGCCGUUCGUAGUCCGGAUCGCAGUCUGCAACUCGAC
RNAcentral lists this ribosomal RNA (702 nucleotides) under uncultured Pseudomonadaceae bacterium. RNAcentral's name for it is "bacterial SSU rRNA". It matches the Rfam family "Bacterial small subunit ribosomal RNA", at positions 609 to 1316 of the family's 1533-position model. Lineage: Bacteria; Pseudomonadati; Pseudomonadota; Gammaproteobacteria; Pseudomonadales; Pseudomonadaceae. The record is from RNAcentral.